This 402-nucleotide ribosomal RNA is filed under the name bacterium. Its description in RNAcentral is "partial 16S ribosomal RNA". It matches the Rfam family "Bacterial small subunit ribosomal RNA", at positions 355 to 776 of the family's 1533-position model. The record is from RNAcentral.
UGGGGAAUUUUGCACAAUGGGGGAAACCCUGAUGCAGCGACGCCGCGUGAUUUAGAAGGCCUUCGGGUUGUAAAAAUCUUUUCUAUGGGAAGAAAAUGACAGUACCAUAGGAAUAAGGACCGGCUAAUUACGUGCCAGCAGCCGCGGUAAUACGUAAGGUCCGAGCGUUGUCCGGAAUCAUUGGGCGUAAAGGGUACGUAGGCGGGUAAGCAAGUUAGAAGUGAAAUCCUAUAGCUCAACUAUAGUAAGCUUUUAAAACUGCUCAUCUUGAGGUAUGGAAGGGAAAGUGGAAUUCCUAGUGUAGCGGUGAAAUGCGCAGAUAUUAGGAGGAAUACCGGUGGCUAAGGCGAGUUUCUGGCCAUAACCUGACGCUGAGGUACGAAAGCGUGGGUAGCAAACAGG